Molecule: non-coding RNA, 56 nt
Organism: Chloroflexi bacterium RBG_16_56_11
Lineage: Bacteria; Bacillati; Chloroflexota
Source: Rfam
CGGUUGAGAGGGCAGCGUAUGUCGCCGUCCGCUGAGGCGAAAGCUUCACUUGGCUG